RNAcentral lists this long non-coding RNA (7029 nucleotides) under Cricetulus griseus (Chinese hamster). RNAcentral describes it as "lncRNA (ENSCGRG00015039386.1)". Lineage: Eukaryota; Metazoa; Chordata; Mammalia; Rodentia; Cricetidae. The record is from RNAcentral.
GUUCACUUCUGCUUGGCAAUCAAUUUAGGGAUUUUGAAAUGUAUGCAGAGGCAGAGAUGGUAUAUCGAUCCCUAAAAUUCAUGUAUCAUCAAUGGUAGCUAAUGAUUGCUACCUAUAACUCCUGCUGCAAUGGACACAAAGAAUACCUAUUGGCUGAUUUUCUAUUUUUUGAGUGAGUGGAUUGGGAGGUAUUUUCAGUUUUAAGGAAUCAAUCGAGUAUUUCAACCAACGAGGGCAGGAAAAUUAUGUAAGAUGCUUUCCAGUGGUUUGAGUAUCAAGAAAAUCUUAUGUUAAAAGAGGCAUUAAGUUUCACAUUAUCAACUAUUAUAAGGAAGAAUCUUCUCUAUGCUUGUUCUUUUACACUUAAUGCCCAAACUUAUCUCCUUUUCUCUCCCAACCCUGUCUCUUCAUCUUUCUCCAUAGUAUUAUUUUGCCUUAUAAUAUUUGUGUUCAAAAUACAAUACUUUUCUUCAAGCAAGCAAGAAUGGAAACAAAUCUGCCUGUGGCACCCAGCAUGUGCUUUCAAUUCCAGACAUGCCUUUUGCAUGUGGUUUUUCGUAUGUAAUGAUGACUCUGAGGUCAGACCCAUCAGGUUUCCUAUUUCUCAAAUCACUGAACUAACAAACUGCAGCCUCUCACUUAGCAUGUUGGUCAAAACAACACUGUGUUUCUGCUCUGCCUUUUCAAUAAGCGCGUGCUUUCCCUUUGCACUCCAUGGAAAUGAAAAACACGUUUCUCUACCAAACCACUACCCUAUAUCAAGCAGACACACACAUCAUGGUCCAGUGUGGUUACUAUCUUUAUAUUAUAAGACAACCCUACAACUGAUGAUUGGAUAAACCAAAAUAGAGAAUAAACUUGCACAAUAAGAGAGGUUUGAUAAGUCUGUAGAUUUUGACAUAGUUUGGGAUUUGGGGUUUACAUAUGUAAUGAUUUCAUAUUCCAAAUUCUUUGACUAAGCACUUUUAUACUUUUAAAAUGCUAAUGUAUUAGUUCAAAUUCUAUUCUCAGAUUGGAAAUCUUCAAUUAUGCAUAGCAUUUUAAUUUCCUAAAUGUUUAAUGUAUACACAUUAACAAACAAAACUCCAGCAAUAACAAAGUGACCCCCACAAACUCUACAAAUACUUGUCCCACUGAAUUGGAAAUUGAGAUUACUGUCUGGGCAUUGGAGUCUCAUGAAACCAUCAGUCAGAUAAGCACACUGAGUAGGACCAGCCUGAAGUUUAAUUGAUACAAUGUGAAGGCAAAGUAAAAUAAUAAGCCCAGAAUCCAGGAGCUUAUUCAGGAAAGCUUUUAGAUUUUUCAGGAUGUGACAAAAAUAUUUAGUAAUUGGUGACUAAUGUCGGACAUUUUGGAAUUUCCUAACAAUGAAAAAUGUCAACCAACCUGAGCCUCAUUAAAGGCCAAGGGGAUAUGGACGUGAUUGUGGAUGAGGGAGUUUUAACUUUUUAUGCAGUGAGUGUUUAGCCUACAUAGACACGAAUGCACUCUGUGUGUGUGUGUGUGUGUGUGUGUGUGUGUGUGUGUGUGAAGCCUUUAGAGGUCAGAAGAAGGCUUCAGAGCUUCUGGUGCCAGAGUUAUUGAUGGUUGUGAGCCACCAUGUGAGUGCUGAGAAUUGAACUUGGGUCCUCCAUAACAGCAACAGAUGCUCUCAACAGCUAAGCCAACUGUUCCACUCAGAUCAGGGAUUUUUAAAGACCAAGUGGUCUCAAAAAUAGCUCUAAAAAUUACCAGCAGUAUGAAUAUUUUCUUGUUGUUUAAGCACCCAUGCCUACUUUAUUUCAGCCUCCCUUUCCUUUUUUGGUGAUAAAAUUUAAAGUUUAAGUUUCUAUUGUAUCAUAUGAAUAAUGAGUUAUGAAAUGACUACAACAAGAAUAUUAACAUCACAAAAACUAGAUAUGAAACUCAAAUAUUAACUAUUGAAAUUUUAUUUUCAGUGUUUGGUGCAAGACAAACAUCCUCAUAUAUAUGAAAAUCAAUUUCAGCCCAUCAGAUGUGUUGAAAGAAUUGGUUUUACUAUGUAGAAAUAAUUGUUACAAUUUCAUUAUCAUUAAAUUCAAUAUGGAAGAGCACUGGGGCAACUUGCCUCCAAGGUUUAUAUGCAGGUCUCAAAGGAGACAUAUUCACUUCAGUUUUCUGUCAUGAUAAUAAUGAUGUCUCCUUAUAUGAAUUAAUCCCAGAAAAUUCACCAUCAGUGCAUGACUUCCCACUACUCAAUACCUAGGUAUUUAUGUUGCUGAAUUUCUAGUUUGAAAUUCCAUAGCUGGUUUCUGUUGUCUUGGAUAAUCCCUAUGUAUAUACUCAUAUUGUCAAAUUUUCUGCCUUCAACUAUAUAAGCAUAAUGAUUAAAUCAUAAAUUAUAUUUGCUGACAAUGCCUCUAGAAAAAUGUGUUAAAUGAAUAUCUGCCUUCUUGUACUUUGUUCUGUUGAAGUUACCCAAUAUUCUGGAAUCAACUCUAAAAUUACUUCUUAAAUUAUAAAUGAUUACUUCUUUAUAUGACGUUUGUAUUUUAGGCAAGAUUUAUGUUACUAUGGGCUAGGGAUACAUCUCAGAUACAAACACUUGCCUAACAUGCUCAUCUUCACCUCUCAGCACUCAAAAAUAGUAAUGAUAAUAAUUUUUUUGUAUUUAUUCAGCGAUCUUCCUUAUUACAAAUCCUGACUUCAAACUGGGUUUGUUAUUGUCUCCCCUCCCAAAAUAUGGAUUUCUAAAAGGUAAAAAAAGGAUAAAGUUUCAUAAUUGAUCUUCACUUCAUUGUCUUUGAAACAAAACAUUAUGCAUAUGUGCUCCUCCUAUUGUAAGAUUUUUACUUAAUUUUGGAGUGCAAGUUUACAUUCUCUCACUGUUUGUGUCACUGGAGAUUUCCCUUCAUGACCACCCUUUUGCAUGCAAAUACCUUCAAAGCAUAAGGGCACACUUCACAACCAUCAUGUUCUCUGGGUAAUAGAUUAUUGUGUUUUGAAAGUUUGUGCUCUUAAAGAAUUUCAUACUUGCAUAUGUGUUUUAUAAAUCCACCCCCUUUCACCACCAUCUAGGUCUUUCUAUUCCCACUACUUUCUCUUCCAGCUUCAUGAGUUCAUGUGGUCAUUUUAAGUGUUUCAGCCACUGUCCAUAUAGUGCUGCCUGUGUGUGCAUGGCUGUAGACUAUCUACCGAGAAUUGGUAGUAGUCUCUUAGGGGCUUCAUUCCCUUAGCAGCCAUCUAUCCCAAUAGCGCCUUCCUAGGGAUUAUUUAUAUUCUUAAAUUAGUUAUUCUCUAACACUCUGUAGAAUUAGGCUUCAGGCUGGCCCCAAAGCUGCUGGAUGUAGCACUUUGGGCAUCAUACAUGCUCAGGCCCAUUUCUGACAUUGCAAUCAACAGGUGCACUAUAGCGGUUCUGAGCUUGAGACUCCGUCCUGUAGAAACAUAUUUCAGAUUCACCCACCUACCUACUCAAGAAAAAGACCAAACUGCUGAGGACCCCAGCAAUAAGCCAGUCUUUGAGCCAUGCUUGAUUGCCAGCACAGAAUCUGCCUGGGGCGAUAGACAAAGAACUUUCCCAAAUAAAACCAGUUUGCAAAGACUGGAAAAACUGCUAAUUCUUCAAAGGUUCAGACACACAAACAAGGAAAAAGAAGCAAAGGAGACUAACCUCUCCAACUUGUGCAUCUAUCCGAAAUAAAUGAAUAAAUAAAUAAAUAAAUAAAAUAUUGGGCAUCACUAAAAUUUUCCAACAGAGACGAAAACAGUAUUCAACUCUACUAUCCAUUUGUGAAAGUAAAAAUUUCCAAGCUCAUUAUUUCUUAAAUUGUGGAUUAAAUAUCAUGGUAAAAAGAGGCCAUGAACAUAGACUUUCAAGUUUACAAUAAUUAUAAAGAAUUAAAAUAAAUAUUAAAAAUAAGUGGAAUAAGUAGAUGCAUAUUAGCACAUCAUAUAUAAACAAAAAUAAAAUUAUCUAGAUUAAUAUAUGAAAAAUAGAUAUUCAGAUGAAACAAAUAUGUGAGGACAGAUUUCAUGAAUGAAAUUUCUAAAAUUCACUAUUUAACUAUAAAUCUGAAAGGUUCUACUAGUACAACUUUACAAAGAUUUAAAUCCAUUGUGAAAAAAAAACAAAAAGGAAAAUAUGUAAAUACAUAACAGGACAUUGGAUUUUAUGUAUAUUUUCAGGAACUGAUAAAGCAUGUAUAUGAAAGGUUAGUGUACAUAAGAAUUAAGAUGAUCAUAUAUGUGUGGCUUACACUGAGACAUAGGAGUGGGAACUACUGCUUAUCAAUAUUAAAUGCAAAAUAAAACUGUUUUUAUUCAAUGUCCUAGAGAUGGAUUUGAAAUGGUGCUGGGAAGACAGAACAUUGGAGGAUGCUUUUUAAAUCCAGAAAAGUAGCACUGGCCACUUAACUAAUGAGCCUUAAACUAUAACAUGUGAUAUUUUCAGACUAUGGAGCUGGAUGCCUAUACGAUGCCAAAGUGAUGCUUGAGCCUUGUUUUAUGCCUCAUAACAACAAUGUCAGUUGGAGUUUGGCUCUAUACUUAAAAGGAUCAAGCAACAGAGAGCUAAAAUGUAUGGUAGGUGAACUCUUCUUGAAUUCAGUAUAGGUAAGUAUAUCUUGAAACAGUAACGAUAAUGUGCUGAAUACAUGACAUUUUAUUGAAAGUAAAGGCCUUUACAUAAUGGAACUAAAGGCACAAGCUGCAGAGCCUGAGAAAGUAUUUCAAAUGUAUAAGUCACAAAGGCAUUAAAUUUGGAACAGGUAAAUCAUUUUACAACAAAUAUUAAAUAUACAAACCCAACCUAAAUCACAAAACCUGUAAGUAUAGAGUAUUUGUAAAGCAUGGGAGAGUGAUUCUCUGGCCUUUGAAGGCUCUUUCUGAGUCUUGAGUUAGGCAGAACAGAGAACACUUUGUCAGUAUGGCAGGCUAGAACCACAGACAGCUCCUCAUAAUACACUUUUCUCCAUUGCUUCUGGAACUUAAUUCUAGAACCUUAUCUUGGGAGCAGUGGCCACACAGUUCAUGGCAGAACAGCACCAGAAAGAUAGAGGGCCAAGGACAAAUGACACUGCCACAAAUCUGUUCUGAUGAGGUAGGACAAGUAAGGACUACUAUCAAGAGCAGUGGGAUAAGCGGACAGAGAACUCUGUAAGGUCAGUGGCUGAGAUGAGCAGAUACUAGCCAUGUGAAAUGAUCUCUAAGCUGACUCAAGCAAGGCUCCUUCCAAAGCUGUAAGACUUAGCAAAGACAGAUGCCAGCGCCUUGAAAGUAAGAGGAAGUCAUCAUUCAUGGAGAGUCCUCUUCAAAGCUGAUCUUGGAAACUGGAUUUACAACUAAGUAAAAUGGUCUGGGGAAAUGGGGCAUUUAUUUUAGAGGCUGCAGUCAUAGAAAUAAAAAUAUGUAGUUGAGGAUUGUAUCAUCUAGAUCAGAACAGAGUUUGUGAUUUUUAGUUUUCCCGCCAUUUCUUGCCUGAUCUACGUUUCGUGGAUUUAUGCCACUCUCAUCUUGACUGUUCUAAAGGUAGAUACACAUUUUUCAUUGUUUGAAUUCUUCCAUCGUGCUUCAAGCACGCCAUCCAUUUACAAAGGUGUAUUGACUAUGCAUUCUAUAGAGCUUCAUAAAAUAAGCUGGUGAAAGCAACACAAAAUAGAAUUUAAGCAUGCUGGAAUUACUGAUUUGGCCCAUAUUCUAGCUGCUCUGUUUCCUAGUGACUAUAUACAAACAAAUUCUUUCAAAUCUGGCUUAAUGAAAUCAGAUCCUGAAAAUUCUACACAGCACUUGUGAUUAAUGUGUUAUUCAAUGAAUGUUGCCUGCUUCUCUUUAGUAUUUAGAAGAUACAAGAAAUGGGAUGAAUUCAGAUAGACCAAUUCAAAUCAUCCUUUAUCCUCUUCAUAAUCAUGAUAUUGCAGAGGACACAUCACAACAACAAUGUCUGCACCACAGGUAAAUGAAGCUCUCUAGAGGAACCUCAGUGGACACAGGUCACAGAAGGAAACAAACGUAUAAUUGUAUUUGUACUAAAUCAAAACAUAACAUCCUAUGUACUUCCUGAAAGCUUAAGCCAUGGAACAUCAUGUGAUCUCUGACUGGCCAGUGACCAUGAAAUCCAGAAGAAUUUCAGCAUGAAUCUGCAGAUGUGUUCAGAGAAGAAUCUCUUGAUGCAGCUGAAUCUUUUGGGGGUGUUCCUUUCUUCCAGUAACCCUACUGGCUGGCCCUUCAUUUACUGUAUCAACUACCAUCAUUAGUUCAUCUAUUAUAUACUUGGUGCUCUUGUAGUCAUUGGGAAUAGAGAAGACAAAAGAAAAGAAAAACCUCAUUUUCAUGAGAUUUAAUUCUGCUGGAAAUAAAUAAUUAAAACUAUUCCAGAUGUUAAUAUAUUCCUAAAAGAAAACAAAGCAGAGAUAGACAGAUGUGUGGGAGUCCUUGAGGAGUGACCAACAACAAAAGAUUGAAGUGAGCCACAGGAAACAAUCAGCAGGGUGCUUCUACUGACCUCUAAAUCUUUCUAUAUUCUAUAUUGGGAUACUUCCUUAACAGCAAUAAUGCCCCAAGAGAAAAUGUAUUAUCAAUUCUAUGCCUAUUAUCCUUAAAAUAAAAGCCUUUUGAUUGCUACAUGUGGAAACAAUGGUUUUCAAAGACAUUUAGAUACAUAAAACCAUGUUAUCAAGUGAGAUGGACCAGUUUAUAUAUUAUAUUUUUGCAAGCUGAACUUCCUAGUAAUUAGGCUGCAUUUCACCCUAAUGUGUGACUUUAUUGUGUGAAUUUGGUUUCAACAAUGUAUGUUUUCUCCAUGUAUAAAAUGAAAGUUAUGUAGGGUCUACAUUAAACAUGAUUAUCUUUGUCUCCAUAUUGCUCCAAUGAAUUAUACUUUGUUGUGAAAUCUGUAUUAUCAAUUGGAUUUGCUUAUGGGCUUACUCUAUUCACAUAUAUUUUUUUUCAGCAUGCAAAAAUUGUUGUCAAUAGCAUUUACCUUACACCCUACUUCUCAGUAGAUGCAGUAAAAUAAAAUAAUCUCAUUGUCACCACAAAAUUGUAGGAGUGAAGUCUCAUAUUUCAACUACU